AUUUUGUCAGCGCAAAUGAUUUAUAUUCAAUUUGCUUGAAAUGUUAACCUAACUUCUAUUUCAUUGGUGUUGUGAAUCUUUGGAAACUUUGAACCAUUAGGAGCUUCAAGAGUACUUGAUUCAAACUGAAGACAGUGGGCUACUAAGAAAAAGAAUUGCUAAUUUUGUAAUCAGGUUGUUGAAGUACCAAAUGUCAGCUGGGAUGAUAUUGGUGGGCUGGAAAAUGUCAAGAGGAAACUGCAAGAGAUUAGAACAGUGGAU
Long non-coding RNA from Zingiber officinale, 261 nucleotides. RefSeq lists it as uncharacterized. The transcript has 3 exons. The record is from RefSeq and is a predicted model, not a curated record. Lineage: Eukaryota; Viridiplantae; Streptophyta; Magnoliopsida; Zingiberales; Zingiberaceae.